Phragmites australis (common reed) is the source of this 2954-nucleotide long non-coding RNA. RefSeq lists it as uncharacterized. The transcript is spliced from 2 exons. The record is from RefSeq and is a predicted model, not a curated record. Lineage: Eukaryota; Viridiplantae; Streptophyta; Magnoliopsida; Poales; Poaceae.
CAUCGUCGUCCUCCUCGAACUCUCUCGAUCCCGUGGAUCAGUCCGCCUGCAUCCGCGCCCCCACGCUCCUCGGUGCCUGGUCCCUCCGCUGUGCCACCCAUACCUCUGCCACUCCGGCUCCGACCACCGCCCCUUCCACCUCCUCCCUGAGCCAAAGUCGACCGGGGCUCCCCCAGGCGCGCCUCAGCUUCUUCAUUGCGCGGCCGGCUCAGCUAGAAAAAAAAUCCCCACUGGCAGCUCGUUCUGUCCGUUGUUCCCGCCGCUGCCAGCACCUUCGGAUCUGCCCACCAUCCCCGCUAUCGCCACCGCUUUCUCCUCCGCUCUCCUGGUGUUGGAAGUGCAGAUCCAUCCACACUUUGGAUUGGUUUCUUCUUGCGUUGGUAAGAAAGCACUAGCUUGCUCUGAUGGAUUCCCAUUUUUUAUUUGUAGAGUUAGUGUUUGCUCUGGUUUUCCAUUUCCAUGCUGCGCGCAAUCAAAUCCCAAACUUUCUUACAUUCAAAUCCAUCCCCUUUGCUGUUGUCCACCCCUUCGCCUCCCACCUGAGCGAUGCGCACACGCGUGCCCAUGCGAUUCUUUGGCCUGCAGCCAGCGCCAAACCUUACUGGGUUGCAUAAGCUCAUGCCGGCCAGAUCUCAGCGGUGGCAGAGAGGAGCGAUGUUGGCCCUUUCUCCACUGCCACUGCCAUAUCCGCCUCCCCGAUUGGACCGUCAAGGAUGAGCACCAAUCGGAUUUGGAACGACACGACCGCAGGGAAGAAAAGGUGCCAUGGUGGGGAAUGGGCAGCAUGGAGGUCAUAGCCAACAGCGCCGCUACCUCCACCUCUGCCUCCCAGUGCGCUGCUCGCCUCCGUAUGCCUCCCCUUAGUUGCUGUUGUCUGCCCCUCCUUUGCAACCGGCAUUGAAGUGCUAUAAGCACAUGCUGACCACCUAUGAUUCAGGCAGCACGUCGAGGGCAGAUGGCAAGAUGGUGGGGAAUGGAUUCCCUACAUGAACUGCUCGCCGCUGAUUCCCUGCCGUGUCCUCUAAACACGGUGCUUCUCUCUACUCUGCCAUUACAAAGAAUUGAAUACAAAAGAUGUUGUUCGUUGAUAUUUCCAUGUUUCUUUUUGGAUUUAGUGAACUCGUACCUGCUCAAGUUUGACCUUGGCGCAUCUUCUCUCUGGUUUUUACUGCUAUUCAUCUUAAGAAAAUGAUAUCCUGAUGAUUUAGUUUGUUUCUAAUGUAUAGAGUCCACCAAUGUGAUGCUAAAUUCUCAAUUACAUGUAUCUCAUAUUUUUAUCUCUUGGCAGUAUGAUUCAAACCCUGUCGAGCAUCAUAAUCGUUCAGAAAUGUUCCAAUCCAUACUGUUAGAUCAAUUACUGAAUGCUUAUGUAGUAAAUCCAUAAAUACAUUUAGAAAUAUGUUCAGAAAUUGAAUGGCCAGAAGUUGAAUUGAUUGAUUAUAAGUAGGCUAUAUGUGUGACAAUUUGAGUUUGCAUGUUUUGAUGAAAAUGUUCAGCCAAGCCAUUGUUUUAUUCUUUCCCCUUCCAAAUUAAUGUGUAUUAUUCAAUUAGAGGGAGUUAGACCAUAUCAUAAGCAUUAGUAAUGAACAUAAUUAAGGUCAACUAUCAUGACAAAUCUUACAUUUUUAUGCAUAAAUAUGUAUGAGUUAAUCCUUGGAAGAAAAAAUUCGUGUCAAUCCUAAUGAUACUCUCCCUAACUGUUACUGUUUAAACUACAUGUAACUGAACUUUUCUUUGAGGCCCAUUAUGUUGCAGAUUGAUGGAGCACAAGAUACUUUUCACAUAUGGAAGUAAUUGCCUGAAUAUUCCGAGACGUAUGUUUAUCUCAUCAAAGAACUACUAAUCAACUGCUAAAAUCCAAUGGUUACUGGUCAUCCUUUGAACAUGAUCUCUCACUGAACUGUUACUUCCUUUCAAUAUUUUUAAUUUUUAAUUAUGUGCAUGUACUAUAGAAGAAAACAUUCAGUUGCAAUUCAGCUCGGUCAUGGCAUAUGAGGUGAUGGGAAUCUGAUGCAAAAUUAGGAAGAUAACAUUGACGCAAGGUCAGGUGGAUCAGAAAAAUAUGAUCCUUGACAAAUAUAAGCCUGUCAUGCAUAUCAGGCUCGUAUACAACAAAAGGACAAGCCAACGUAUUUGACAUGGUUCUCAACUGACUCUUGAACUCAUCAACUCAGCUCAGUGAUUCGUCACAAACACAUGGUUGCCAGUGCUCAAGGUGAUUUGUUCCAAUUUGAUAGUAACACUUUCACUUCACCUUGCAUCUAAUUCUAUAAGGUUCGGCUGCAUUAUUAAGAAACACAUGGUUAUUCUUUGCAAACAGCAAGAUGAUAACUCUAGUGGUAUCUGGUAAUCAGAUUCAGAUCUUAUCAAUUUACGAGAAAUGUUAAGCUGAAAGCUAUACUAAAAUGUUCUUAUAGGAAAUCAUAUAUUACAAGUCACAUACAGUUUGUAUUGCUAGAGAGCAAAUAUAGUAUUUCUUCAUUAAUUGUUCUUAUCAAAGUUUUUCCUGACCUUAUGACUCAUGUGACGGCAUAUACAACUACUGAGGGACUUCAAAUAUUAUAAAAAGUAAGUAUUCUUUGCUUCCUUCUGUAUAGAUCUACUUCCUUCUGCGUAUUAUGCCACCUUCCCUCAUUUCUAUUCCUUUUCCCCUAUUGCCCUUACUAAUUCCUCUGUCCUUUCCUUCUUUUCAAGUAAAUUUUGCUCUGUCAACAAACAUUAUUAAUCUCAGAUUGAAAGUACUUCUGAAUGUGUUAAAUGAAGGCAGGAAAUGACUGCUAUCAACAGCAAUCUUGAGUUGACAACUGCAAUUGUUGGACCAACAGGGUUCCAUAUGAUUGAUUAUGUGGUGAAUACAUUUUGUAACUAUGCAAUAACAAACGAAUUUAAAAUUUGAUAUGUUGGGUCAAAUAUGUUACUCUGAGAAGAGGAAUAUACUAUUAUUAAGUAUCGAA